This is a non-coding RNA of Ceratotherium simum simum (southern white rhinoceros), 108 nucleotides long. Lineage: Eukaryota; Metazoa; Chordata; Mammalia; Perissodactyla; Rhinocerotidae. The record is from RefSeq and is a predicted model, not a curated record.
UCUUCCGAAAUGCCUUCACAGAAAUCCAGAAAAAUGCAUUUCCUACCAAGAGGCUUGGGCAGUUUUGAAAUUGAAGUGGGAGCCCAUCUGAGAAGUUUCUCAAGACAA